GAACCGUGCGAACGUUAUUCGGAAUCAUUGGGCUUAAAGCGCGUGUAGGCGGAUGGGAACGUCGAUGUUGAAAGCCCCCGGCUCAACCGGGGAACCGGCGUCGAAACGACCCGUCUGGAGGGGCAUAGGGGGAGCUGGAACUUCCGGUGGAGCGGUGAAAUGCGUAGAUAUCGUAAGGAAGACCAGUGGCGAAGGCGAGUCUCUGGACAGUUACCGACGCUGAGGCACGAAGGUCAGGGGAGCAAACGGGAUUAGAUACCCCGGUAGUCCUGACAGUAAACGGUGCACGUUUGGUGUAGGCGGAUUCGACCCCGUCUGUGCCGGASUAACGCGUUAAACGUGCUGCCUGGGAAGUACGGUCGCAAGAUUA
RNAcentral lists this ribosomal RNA (370 nucleotides) under uncultured bacterium. RNAcentral's name for it is "bacterial SSU rRNA". It matches the Rfam family "Bacterial small subunit ribosomal RNA", at positions 527 to 896 of the family's 1533-position model. The record is from RNAcentral.